UGAUGAUCUACCUCCGAGUGGGGAAUAACUUAGGGAAACCUGAGCUAAUACCGCAUAACACUUACGAGCCAAAGCAGCAAUGCGCUUGGAGAGGAGUUCGCGGCAGAUUAGCUAGUUGGCGGGGUAAUGGCCCACCAAGGCGAUGAUCUGUAUCCGGCCUGAGAGGGCGCACGGACACACUGGAACUGAAACACGGUCCAGACUCCUACGGGAGGCAGCAGUGGGGAAUAUUGGACAAUGGGCGCAAGCCUGAUCCAGCAAUGCCGCGUGAGUGAAGAAGGUCUUCGGAUUGUAAAGCUCUUUCGACGGGGACGAUGAUGACGGUACCCGUAGAAGAAGCCCCGGCUAACUUCGUGCCAGCAGCCGCGGUAAU
RNAcentral lists this ribosomal RNA (373 nucleotides) under uncultured bacterium. RNAcentral's name for it is "bacterial SSU rRNA". It matches the Rfam family "Bacterial small subunit ribosomal RNA", at positions 119 to 524 of the family's 1533-position model. The record is from RNAcentral.